Long non-coding RNA from Amphimedon queenslandica, 265 nucleotides. RefSeq lists it as uncharacterized. The record is from RefSeq and is a predicted model, not a curated record. The transcript has 2 exons. Lineage: Eukaryota; Metazoa; Porifera; Demospongiae; Haplosclerida; Niphatidae.
UAACCUAGCUAUACUAUUCAAUAUUUUUGUGACCAUACAUGUAGUUUAAUGCAAAAAUGAGAUUUAUAACACUUUAUGCUCUAUUCUGUACUACUUGAUUAUUACAAUGUCAUAAUAGGUAAUUGGUUUAGCUGGUGUAUUUUCUCUUGAUCACCCAGAAAGAGCUAAGGCAAUGACGUGGACAAUGACUGGCCUUUCAACCCUAUCACUAUUAAUGCUCCUUUUUUAUUUUGAGCAUUACAAAAGACUAAGUGUGGACACAACA